CGCAGCGGUAACGUCACUUCCUUUUUCACGGGGGGCUCGGCUCGGCAUGGCAUGGGCAAACCUCAUGUUCCAUCUUCCCUCAGGGGAAUGACUUCAAUGGCCGUGCUUCUGUGUCAGCAAGAGCACAGCUGUGGUCCUAAUCAUUAGCUCAGAAGCACAACCUUGAGUGAAAAGAAAGUCCUAGAAAAACCACCCCCGACAGUGAGGCUGUGAUGAAGACAAAUCUCCCAGCACCCACAAAAUGUUUGAUUCACUAAAUACUCCUUUUCAGUGCAUCCUCAUGAAGGGCCUAAUGUCUGAUCCUGAAGUGCUGAGCGCGGGAGUUGGGGUGUUUGUGGUCUCAGGAUCUGGCUUUUGGUUUCAGCUUACAAGUGAAUUUUUGCAUCCUGUACUUAUGGACACUUGGGAUCUUAGGCUAGGAAUGAGAGAGAGAGAAAAGGGAGACGGAUGGUGCUUCAUAAACAUUUCUAUUGCAGUGGUGAUUGGACCAAUUUUGCUGUGACCUAUUGGCUAUUCUCUGGUUGCUUCAAUAUUGUGCCCAGUGGAAAUGGCUCUGUGGUCACUGUGUCCAGAAAGCCCCCUUGCUGUGUUCUCAUCACCUGGGCAAAACUGUCCAAUGGCAUUCUCACACACAUACAUACUUUGUUGAGUUCAGCUGCAGUAGCCUGCAAGGGUUAAGAACAUAAGUGGGUUUUUUUUCACUUAUGUUCUUAAGAGUUGGGACCAAGUCUUUUAACUUUGUGCCCCAAGAUGGAACAGUCUGAGGCAGCAUAAAAUGGAAGAAUGAUGGUCAUAUUGAGCUGGGGGAAAAAAACCUCCUCUGCAAAAUAUGAAGACCGGAUGUAUCUUGCCCUCCCCUCAAAUGUUGUGAAGCAGCAUCCCAGGUUUUCUCAAAAAGAAAAAGGAUACUUUAAAUAGCUCAUCUCCAUUGGGUUCUCUUUUUCACACACUGUCCUGGCACCAGAAAAGCAGCAAAGAGGGCCAGGGAAUCUACAGAGCACACUGCAAAAUGCCCCUACAUACAGUAUACGUUCAUCCCCAGCUGCUCCUUCAUAGGCACCAGUUUACACACAUACACACACAUUGGAAAGGUUACUAACUCAGUUCUAUGUGUCCGUCACAAUUGCUGGCUGCAUUUACAACUGUCUCGCAACACCACAAAUAACCGAACAAAACUAAGAAAGGCCAGUUUAGGAAAGAAUUCCUUCCUCCCCCCAACUUGCAAAGGAACCCACCUGAGCCAGGGCAAGCCUGAGCAAACAGGUAAGUCCUGCAACAUACCCUGCAGGUCAACAAAUUAGCUCUGUCAAAGCAAUGGAGGAAUUGGAUUCCAGAGCCAAGGCCACUCACCCCACUGAUAAAGCCCUUCUUCCAGCCCCCCGAAAGGAAUUCAGACCUGGGGACUGCUAGUAAUAUGUCCCAGCUGAUUUCAGGUGGUGGGAUGAUGCAUAAGGAGCAAGGCUGUCCUGUGCUGGUAACAGAGGAGAACAUGUUCACAUUUGUGCUCCCUCUCUGUCUAUAUUCAUGUGUGCACACACCCCGCUCCAGAGGGAAUGCCUCAUGCAGAACAGGAGACAUGCUUGGCUAUUAAAUGGCCAAUGAAUUCAUGCCAUCUGCUUCAGAUUACUAGCUGAGUGACAGCUUCACAUGGGUCAGUGACUCUCAUUAUCCCAACAAGAGGCUGCCAUGUGCCUGCAUGUCAGGAAUUGUGCUUAAUUUUUUACACUGCUGAUUAACUAGCGAUUUCAUCCUCUGCCCAUCUGGGUGAAUUUAGGGGGGAUGGGGACUAGUUCACUGGACGUUUGGGGAAAUGUUGAAUGCUGGAUUGCACAAUGUUUGUGUUUCAAAGACCAUGUGGUGCUAUUAGAUGCUGGCAGAUUCCCAGGGGCUGUGCUCUUUAUCAUGCAACUUAUAAGUCAUUCCUGCUACAGUCUCCCCCCCCAUCCAGAUCCUAAAGCUGGUGAGGACUGAGUGUUCAUUUUACUGUAAAAACUGAGCGUGUUUAUCCCAGAACCUUGCUAUGCUGGGGCAUCAUGUCUCCUUGUUUUUCUUCUCUCAUGGGAUGAUUCUGGAGAGGUGACUAGGAGAUGCAAAGGAACCAGGUGACAUCUGAAUUGCUGAGUCCGCAAAGGGGCCUUUAGGCCAUCCCUCCCAGCUGCCACCGUUGGCUUUUGCUUUUCAGGCUCACUCGCGUGAUUUAUUAAAGAGCCGUGGUUUACAAAAGGAGGCAGGCGUCCAUGUGCACACUAUCAAAACCAGUCCAUAAAUUUCCCUUUUAACAGCUUUUGUUCUGGAGACAUCAGUCCCUUGGCUGGCCUAGGGCUCGUUAAUAAAAAUGAAGCCUUUUUGGAAACAGUUGUUGCUUGUAUGAUACAUGAGCCCUGCAAAUAACCAUUGUCCCCAGUCCAUCAUUAGCAGGUUUUUCCUCUUUCCUUCCCACCCCCAACCAUUGAGUUGAAGCAGAAGUCUCUGUAAUCAAGGCAUGAAGUUUGGUCAGUUCUCAAAACCAGCUAUUCCAGCACUAGCUAGAUUUUUUUUCCAGGCAAAUGAGGUCCUGAGCUCAGGGAUAUGGCAGUGACCUGAAGAAUCUGAAGUAAAGAUAAAAUUAAUAGUAAUUAAAAGACAUGCUUUUUUUGCUAUAACUUCUAUAUCUUGGCCAAGAUAGAAGAAACCCCAGAGGCUCUCUGGAACUGUUUUUAUUCUUCUGUCCUGUAUAGCACUGAAUAUGUUGGCACUUAAACAACCAAUAAUCCAAUACCGGGUUUGGGUGGCUGACUGACUCAGGAAAUAGAUAAAUUGGCUAGGGAGUCUCCUCUUCUAGGAUGCUGGUCUGAAGACAGUAUAUGUCAAUAGUUACUGAGUUAUUACCAGCUGUUGGCUGUUUGGUGGAUCUGUGCCGGAAUGAGUCGGGUCUCAGAACCAUUGCUAGUGGACAUGUGCUCACGACCGCCACAGAGAUUGAUUCACAGAUUUCAAGGCCAGAAGGGACCAUUCUGAUCAGCUAGUCUGACUGCCUGUAGAACACAACCAUAGAACAGUCCCAAAAUAAUUCCUAGAGCAGGUCUUUUAGAAAAACAUCCAGUCUUGAUUUAAAAAUUGCCAGUGAUGGAGAAUCCAUCACGACCCUUGGUAAAUUGUUCCAACGGUUAAUUACCCUCACUGUUAAAAAUGUAUGUCUUAUUUCCAAUCUGAAUUUAUCUAAUUUCAACUUCCAGUUAUUAUACCUUUUUUUCUACUAGAUUGAAGAGUCCAUUAUCACAAACUUGUUCCCCAUAACUGCUGGACGUAAUAUUUCUGCAACAGUUGCACCGGUGCCAAACACACAGGGACAAGAAUUGAAUGGGCCAUGAAGAAAAAUUCCAUUUCACCUCUAUUGGCAAUCCUUCCAUUGCAGAAUGAAAGCACAUUAGUGGGACAGUCUGAAGAACCGCAUGAAGGAAGCCUGCUCAGUUGCUGCGUAUGUUGUAGCUGACAGCUCAGCACCUAUCAUCUUCAGUAUAUUAAAAAUAAGGAAAUAAAUCUGUGGAGCC
Molecule: non-coding RNA, 3530 nt
Organism: Chrysemys picta bellii (western painted turtle)
Lineage: Eukaryota; Metazoa; Chordata; Testudines; Emydidae
Source: RefSeq, a predicted model, not a curated record